CCGCCUUUAGCUCAGUUGGUAGAGCAACUGACUCUUAAUCAGUGGGUCCUGGGUUCGAGUCCCCGAAGGCGGACCA
Molecule: transfer RNA, 76 nt
Filed under: Bacillota bacterium
Lineage: Bacteria; Bacillati; Bacillota
Also listed under: 1 other name
Description: tRNA-Lys
Rfam family: tRNA
About the family: Transfer RNA (tRNA) molecules are approximately 80 nucleotides in length.
Source: RNAcentral